Molecule: non-coding RNA, 112 nt
Filed under: uncultured Sporosarcina sp.
Lineage: Bacteria; Bacillati; Bacillota; Bacilli; Caryophanales; Caryophanaceae
Description: SAM riboswitch (S box leader)
Rfam family: SAM riboswitch aptamer (S box leader)
About the family: The SAM riboswitch is found upstream of a number of genes which code for proteins involved in methionine or cysteine biosynthesis in Gram-positive bacteria. The SAM riboswitch acts at the level of transcription termination control.
Source: RNAcentral
UUAUCAAGAGAGGUGGAGGGACUGGCCCUAUGAAACCCGACAACCGGCAUUUGCAACAUGAAUGUAGCGGUGUCAAUUCCUGCAGGAUUUAAAAUGAUCCUGAAAGAUAAGA